This 497-nucleotide ribosomal RNA is filed under the name uncultured bacterium. RNAcentral describes it as "partial 16S ribosomal RNA". It matches the Rfam family "Bacterial small subunit ribosomal RNA", at positions 28 to 507 of the family's 1533-position model. The record is from RNAcentral.
GAUGAACGCUGGCGGCGUGCCUAAUACAUGCAAGUCGAGCGAACAGACGAGGAGCUUGCUCCUUUGACGUUAGCGGCGGACGGGUGAGUAACACGUGGGUAACCUACCUAUAAGUCUGGGAUAACUUCGGGAAACCGGAUCUAAUACCGGAUAAUAUUUCGAACCGCAUGGUUCUAUAGUUAAAGAUGGCUUUGCUAUCACUUAUAGAUUGUCCUGCGCCGUAUUAGCUAGUUGGUAAGGUAACGGCUUACCAAGGCAACGAUACGUAGCCGACCUGAGAGGGGGAUCGGCCAAACUGGAACUGAGACACGGACCAGACUCCUACGGGAGGCAGCAGUAGGGAAUAGUGGGCAAUGGGCGAAAGCAUGACGGAGCAACGCCGAGUGAGUGAUGAAGGUCUUAGGAUCGUAAAACACUGUUAUUAGGGAAGAAAAAAAGGGGAAGAAAAAGUGGACGUAAUGACGGUAACUAAAGAGAAAGCAACGGCUAACUACGUG